CAGGGGCUCUAUGCCAGGGUUAACAGGUAACCCUGGCACUCCACGCUGGCCACCAAGCCAGCUUUUGACCUUGGUCAUGAUUCUGUUCUGGAAACUGGACCCAGGGAAGCUCCUGUGCCUCCUGCAGCUCUGUGCUUUAUUCCCUGUCACAGGUAUUGGCAUGCACUAGAUGAUGUCAUUGUGGACUCAUGUUGUCACCAGCAACGGUGAGGAGAAGAGCUCAAUCCUUGAAAGCCAGUGCCAUAUCCUGUGUAUUUUUUUCUAAAUGGGACUAUCUUAUUGUAAGUUAUUAUUACUAAAGUUUUAUGUACA
This 312-nucleotide long non-coding RNA is filed under the name Homo sapiens (human). Its description in RNAcentral is "HSALNT0010827". The record is from RNAcentral. Lineage: Eukaryota; Metazoa; Chordata; Mammalia; Primates; Hominidae.